GUUGAUAGGUCAGAGGUGUAAGUGUGGUAACAUAUUUAGCUGACUGAUACUAAUAGGUCGAGGGCUUGACCAA
Molecule: ribosomal RNA, 73 nt
Filed under: Clostridium sp.
Lineage: Bacteria; Bacillati; Bacillota; Clostridia; Eubacteriales; Clostridiaceae
Description: partial 23S ribosomal RNA
Rfam family: Bacterial large subunit ribosomal RNA
Source: RNAcentral